This 188-nucleotide long non-coding RNA is filed under the name dengue virus type 2. RNAcentral describes it as "Dengue virus 2 partial sfRNA1". The record is from RNAcentral. Lineage: Riboviria; Orthornavirae; Kitrinoviricota; Flasuviricetes; Amarillovirales; Flaviviridae.
UAGAAGUCAGGUCGGAUCAAGCCAUAGUACGGAAAAAACUAUGCUACCUGUGAGCCCCGUCCAAGGACGUUAAAAGAAGUCAGGCCAUCACAAAUGCCAUAGCUUGAGUAAACUAUGCUGCCUGUAGCUCCACCUGAGAAGGUGUAAAAAAUCUGGGAGGCCACAAACCAUGGAAGCUGUACGCAUGG